AACGCCCCCGCCGAAAAGCGUUUAACAGAGUAGGCA
RNAcentral lists this non-coding RNA (36 nucleotides) under unclassified sequences. RNAcentral describes it as "DUF805b RNA". It matches the Rfam family "DUF805b RNA". Rfam says of the family: Bacteroidetes, Chlorobi (1 example), Proteobacteria. Lineage (Flavobacteria) The record is from RNAcentral.